Molecule: ribosomal RNA, 253 nt
Filed under: uncultured bacterium
Lineage: Bacteria
Description: partial 16S ribosomal RNA
Rfam family: Bacterial small subunit ribosomal RNA
Source: RNAcentral
UACGAAGGGUGCGAGCGUUAUUCGGAAUCACUGGGCGUAAAGCGUGCGUAGGCGGCCAAGUAAGUCAGAAGUGAAAUCCCAAGGCUUAACCAUGGAAUUGCUUUUGAAACUUCUUGUCUGGAGUAUGGUAGAGGAUAGCGGAAUUCCGAGUGUAGAGGUGAAAUUCGCAGAUAUUCGGAGGAACACCAGUUGCGAAGGCGGCUAUCUGGACCAUUACUGACGCUGAGGUACGAAAGCAUGGGGAGCAAACAGG